This 1510-nucleotide long non-coding RNA is filed under the name Nicotiana tabacum (common tobacco). Its description in RNAcentral is "long non-coding RNA (NTAB_LNC011261)". The record is from RNAcentral. Lineage: Eukaryota; Viridiplantae; Streptophyta; Magnoliopsida; Solanales; Solanaceae.
UAAUAAUGAACUAGAAAUCUAUUCGAAUACACUUGAAGCUAAAGAAGUAAACUGAAAGUCCAAACUUACGAUUACAAACAACUACAUAACAUUCAAUGUAAUUAUACCAAGUUCAGUUAAAACUGUAAACAAACUAAUUGAUAAACAUCAAGCCAUAACAAGACUACUAAGACCAGACUUUAAAGUGAGGCUAGAAUUUAGACAUUGGAACACCAUCUUUCAUUCAACAUUCACAUUUCCACUCCAAGGAUUCGAAAAUGUAUCUGGAUACAACCAAAAACAGCUACAGAAUUUCAAAAGAGGAGGGUGAGAUCAGCAGUAACUUAGCAGCAGAAACAUCAAUCUCAGUCCAUAUUUGGAAUCCAAAACCAGCAAAGUAUUAGAUCAUCUUUCAAAUCCCAGAAAAUCAGCCAAUGUAACAGUACUUUCUCUCUUUUUUUCCUGUGUUUUCUUGUUAAUUUCCUAACUCUAGCAAUGUAUAUUCCCCAGUCGUUUAUGAAUUUUUAGGUUUCUGAUCUCUGCCUUGAAAAUCAAGGAAAGGGGACCUUUAUAGAGGGGUUUUAGGGCAUCAGUAGUGAAUUUUCAAACUUACCAUUUACCCCAUGCCCCAAAUUUUAUCUAUCCAAUUCAGACCCCAAUUUAAAACUUGUUUGUAAAUCUACCCCCUUCCCCACCUUUCUGGAAGUUUCCCAGGCGGUUUUAAAAGAUUCCCCUUAUUAAACUCCCCCAAAUACCCUUAAGACUUACUAAUUACCUUCACACUAGACCUUGAACCAAACUGCCCAAGUACCUUUGGGCCUCUGCAACACCGAGCUUUAAACAGCUCUUUGGGCUUCUUGCAUUUAGCAAGCCCAAGUUAAGGUUUAGGCCAAUGAAUUCCCAAGCAAACUAAAAAACCCAAAAUAACUCCAUUUCUGAAUUUUAGACAUGAAAUCUUUACAUGAAGCAGAAAUAAUAAAAGGAAAAAGUAAAACUAGCAAAUACUAAUCAGAGAAAUUAAUCUAAACAUUAUAAACUAAAAUGACUCAAUCCCAAUCAUGCAAACAAAACUAUUUAAAGCAGAAAAACAAGAAAGAAAAAGAGAGGAAUCUGAAAUAUAUGAAGAUGAGAAUAAAACAAAAGACAGAAAGAAAGAAAAAUGGACGGAAAUACCUAGAAUAGGCAAAUGAACAGGGCUUGACAAACCUCAGGCAAACUUCGAUUUGAACCGAAAUUGGCAUCAAUCGCGUGUUCUCGUCGAGAACAGACGAACAAUACCAAUUUCAGCCCUAAUCGUUCUUGGAAACUCGAAUACUUGAGAGAUUUUUCUUUUUCUUUUUCUUCUUCUUCUUUUUAAGAUCCAAAACUGGCCGGAUUUGGUGGGGAUUUUGGGAGAUGUGGUGGUGGAUUGGGAAUCAGGGGUGGGUGAUGGUUGUGUGGUAGGGUUUUAGGGUCGAUUGGGCUCCGCCGCCGGCCGGUGGAAGCUUAGGAGUUUCAGGGCAGCGGGCUAGGGUUCUUGACUUUGAGAGAG